UUUCUCUCAACCUGUAGCCCCAGCGCCGCUCACCCCUAUUCUUCUUCAUCUUUUCUAAAACCUAGCCCUCCCUCCAUCUCUCUCAACCCUAAACCAUCUUCCCCUUCUCCGUAAAACCCAGAGGCCGAGAGGCCUGAGUCCACAUCACAACUCGCCAUUCCGGAGAGCCUCAACUCCAUCAAACAACCACCAGCUCCCUGGACUCCCCUUUCUUUUCUCUAUAAACACCGAGGCGCACCAACGCCUCCAUUUUCCGGCAAAACAUGACUACAGCACCACCACCACUCGCUCCAUCUCACAGAACCACUAUCACUCACUCUGUUCUGCUCAGGAGACACAGGCGAGGCCUUUCACUGUGCACUGGCUCCUGCCACUGUUCGUCGACUUCUCCUACGAGACUCACCUCUCCUGACCUCGAGAGAGAAAGUGGCAGCAGCAGCAGUGGGAAGGAAUAAGGACUAUUCCUGUCUCUGUGAUCGUCUCUGCCCUUCGAAGCUCUAGGGUUUGGCUUUGGCUCUAUUAGCUGUUGAGAGCGAAAGAUAUGUUGUUAACAAGGGCAAAAACAAGAACUCUCGAUUUUGUUCAUUUCUUUUUUGGUACCCCAAAUGCUCCGUUUGGUUGCUGAGAGACUGAGAAAAAGGGAUUGAAUCGCUUGGUUUUUCGGUGAGAAAACAGAGCUGGGUUCUGUUGUGUUUUUAUCGUGACUGAUGGAAAUUUGGUGUCUUUGGUUCGAAUCUGCGGCACCCAAGAGGAAAAGACCGCGACCCGUGAAGUAUGACGACGAGAACCCAGCGGUUCAAAACAGUCCCAUUUCUUCUACGGCCAAAGUGGUGGCUGAUCAGCCUGCUAAGGUUGAGACUGCCUGUCCGAAUUUGGAAAAAAAAAACCCAGGAUCUCCAGCUGAAAAUGGCGGGUCUUCGUAUGAUUUGCCCCACUCUCAAGCUGUUCCGGCAUCGCUGGAGGCUCAGCGGGAGUCAAUUAGGCCGGAGAGCAACGCGGUGUUGAAGUCAAGGCCAGUGAACGAUGAAUUGGAGAGUCGAAAUGUUAAAACAAGCAAGGAGGAGCCUCAAUCUUCCAAGAAGGAACCUACUGGCAUCAGAUUGGAUGAUAAACGUGAAGAAAUCACACUGACCAAACCGUGAUAAAAUACGGAGAGAUGUGAAGUUAAAGAGAGGAGGACUAAAUCAAUCUUCGAUUUACCUGACCAAUAAUUCAACAUUCAAGGAAGAUGGUGAAAAUCAGAACCCCAAUCUAUCAACCCUUCCAAUGAACCAAGCUAAGGCCAUGAAGGCAACAAUCAAAUCAAGCACAGAGAAGAAGCAACCAAUUGAGAGCACAACGCCGAACAAUGAGGUUCUUCCAAAGCUGAGAAGCACGCUGUCUGCAAGGAAUAUUAUGCUUGGUCCCAAUUACGAUGAGGAAAUUAACAAGACUCUGGUUUGCCUUUAUUAGGUGUCUGUUGAAAGGUUGAGUUCAAUGAAGAAAUAUGUAUUUGGGUUAAGCUCUGCUCAGGAAAAAGUUGUCAAGUUAAGCAAACAAUUGAGCCAUUUAAAAGUUUGGUGAGUAUCUUAUGUCACGUUGUGUAUUGUACGCACACACUCUCUAAACAAAGAGUUCGGUGCCACGUUGUGUACUCUCUCUCUCUAGACAGAGAGCUGGUGGGCGCUAUGUAGUGUACUUUCUGUCUCUGGACACAGAGCUGGGCGUGCACUCUCUCCAGACUAGGCACCACAAUAUAAUCCCACAAUUUUUAACAGAGAGCUGCAGCCACCAUAUAAUUUGAUAAUUUUCAUUUCAGCCAUGGCAACAGCACCACUCAACAUUGGAGCUAAUAGAUCAUCCAUCCCACCUGAAACCCCAGAAAUGAACCUUAAGACAUGGCCGCUUCUUUCACCACCCUCUUUGCCCUUGAAGGGUUAUUGUUCGCUAUCGAUACCAGUGCUCCAGGUAUAUUUGUUCACAGCAAAGCCCACAAAAAGUUGGUCUAGAUUGUGGUUUUCUCACUGGGUUUCAUAUUUUAUGUAUUGUUAUUUUUAUCAGCGAAAUUAAAAUACCCUCUAUAUAUAUGGCUUGCGUUAUCUGUGACCUGGAUAAUGUUCUGAUUUGGAGUCAAUGAAAACGUCCAUCCCAAGAAAUAUUUCGUCAAUAUGGUGUUAAUCAUUAACUUUAUUCUCGCAGCCCUAAUUUUUUUUAAAACACACUUCCUUGUUGGAGUGUCUGAAAGUUUCCGGUUUCUGAAGAAAAACCUAUCUUUCUAGGUUUCAAGAGGUUUUCUUAACCACCUAGAGAAAGCUAAUCCAUGGCUUAGCCUUCUUUAUGAAGCUGAGAAAACCUUUUGUUGGACCCCAAAAAGAUAGGUUCUUCCUCAGAAACUGAAGGCUUUCAGACAUUCCAACAUGGAAGAGUGUUUUUAAAAAGAAUAGUUCUGCCAGAAUGGAGUUAAUGAUUAACACCAUUUUAAUGAAAUCAUUUUUGUGAUGAACGUCUUGAUUGACGCCAAACCAGAACGUUACCCAAGUUACGGAUAACGCAGCCCAUAUAUAUAGAGGGUAUUUUAGUCUUGCAGACAAAAAUACCAAUCCGUAGAAUAUGGCACCCAGAGAGAAACCCACAAUAUAGAGCAACUUUUUGUGGGCUUUGUUGCUCACAAAGGUACCCGGCUCACUAGUGCCGAUAGCGAAUAAUAACCGUCCAAGGGCAAGGAGAGUGGUGAAAGAAGCCGCCAAUGUUUUGAGGUUAAUUUCUGGGUUUUGAGGUGGGAGGGAUGGUUCAUUGCCUCAGGUGUUGGCUUGUGUUGUUGCCAAACUUACCAUGGCUGAAAUGAAAUGAUGUGGUGUCUCCAGCUCUCUGUGAGAGAGGGUGGAUUAUGUAGUGGUGCCCAGUCUAGAGAGAGAGCAUGUCCAGCUCUGUGUUUAGAGAGAGAGUAAACUACGUGGCACCCUAGCUCUGUGUCUAGAGAGAGAGAGUACACAACGUGGCACCCAGCUCUUUGUCUAGAGAGAGGGACACUACCCUGCCCUCCUCCAGUCCUCUUCGUUUUUAAUUUUGUCCUGUUAUUCUUCAUGCCUGUGUUCUUGUAGAGGUGCUGAGCAACAAAUAACUAUGCAUGUCGGUAGCCAUACCUGCGUAAAAGUCAGGAAGAGUAGCAUUGUUGUAGAUCAAAUAUUCACUUAUAUAAUAUAUGUAUGAUAUAUAUAAAUA
This is a non-coding RNA of Malus domestica (apple), 3201 nucleotides long. The record is from RefSeq and is a predicted model, not a curated record. Lineage: Eukaryota; Viridiplantae; Streptophyta; Magnoliopsida; Rosales; Rosaceae.